CUAAAAGUUUUAAUUUGACUUUAAAAAUAGAAAAUGCCUCUCAGUAUUUGAUUAAAGGGUAUGAAAGAAGAGCAGGGACCUGCUGGAGUCUUACCUGUUGUGCAGUGUCCUUAACUGUGUUAAAUGAGAUGCAAGCAUUGAUUUUUUUUUUUUUUUUUAAUUUUUUUUCACUGUCUUCUUUCCAUACCCAGACUGAUAAUUCAGGUCUUUUAUCUAAGUAGAUUCAACUUGCAUUUACUGUAAAGUUAGGUAGUUAAAGAAGAAUCAAAGUAAGGGCCUGGCCCCUGGGCAUGAGUAUCUGCUGAAAUGUGUGUAAUUGUAUUUUCAACAUGAUUAGGUGCCUAACGUGUAAGUGGCCAUGACUUAGGAGUUCUCUCACACUUUAUUCUUCACUUUGCAGCAUUAAAGCAUUGAACAGUACACCUACAGACAAAAAGAAAAAGGCUCCAUACUCUUCAGCUUUUAAAAAAAAUGGUGGGUAUCUUGGGCUGAGAAGAAAACCUGUCUGGGUGGGAGCUCUUCCACUCAAGGCACUGCUGGUGUAGCAGGAUGCUCCACCUUGUUUUCGUGUCUUCAUUGCCUUUUGUGUUCCCAGCUGAGACUUCCUCCUCUAUCUCUUGCACUUGGUUUCUGUGUCUUGGACAAUGGGCAUCUUUGAGAGGUUUUCAUAUGCUUCAUGGAAGGGCCAUGCCCUUUUCUAAUGAUUGCUUGAAAAUAAGUGACCAGACUUUAUAAUAAACAUUCGUUCAUGCCCAGAGCAAUUUCUCCAAUUAGAAGCUGAUGUUUCAGAUGGAGUUUUCAAGAAAUGUAUGUGCAAUAAUUAAACUAACUAGCAGGAGUUAUAAUUCAGCAAAGUCGGCAGGGCUGGGCUGUUGUGCAUUGUUCCUGCUCGGCCAGGCAUAGGCGGGGAAACGUUUUUUUGCUGCGCUGGGAGCUGGAGCUAAGUGCUCCCUUUCUUUUCUCUCCCUGCCAUGUUCUCUCUUGCUACCAAAAAUUAAAUUAACACCCCACCAGUUUAGGUUCAGUAAUUUUCACUGUGAGUUUUCCAGUCAUUAGCGGAUGAUUAUGGUGCAGUGUAGACUGUUGGACAUUAAAUGUUAUUCAUCUAUGCCCAGUCAUAAACUGUCAAUUGUCUUUUUUCCUCCCAAUUAUCUUCUUUAUAUAAUGAAAAUUUCUUUUCAGUGAGGGAGCAUUAGGUUUCAUAGUAAUAAAACCUCUGAGGACGAGUUUACUGCAAAGUCAUCUACACCUUUUGUAUGCCCCGUGGUAUUACCAUGGGAACUUCAGGGGAUGUAAACUACAAUUUCUCAUUCUGUCCCACCCCAACUUAGAGCUGGUUAGAGAUCUACUAAAGACUCUUUAUAUCUGUGAGGUGGCUAUUGCAGCCUUAAAAAAAAAACCAACAGAAGGUAAAAUUAAACUCAUGGCCUGGCAGAGGUGCUUAUGAAUUUACUCCCAACUUUGAGCAAAGAACUUCACUGCUCAGAAGUGUCGAAUUGGGCCCUUAAUGUACUUUGUAAAAGCAGCUUUUAGAAACUCGGGAGAAAGGGGAAAGAGCUAAAUGAGUAUGGACUGCAUAUAAAGUGCCUGAUUUCUCAGUAUGUGGUUUGCGCUUGUGUUUUGGAGAGUGAAAUCUUGGAGUCAGAAAUGCUGUUUGCUCUUUAAAGAAAGCUGUGGAUGGUCUGCAAGACUAAUGCAGGUUGCUUAAAACAUAUUGUGAAAAU
Athene cunicularia (burrowing owl) is the source of this 1724-nucleotide long non-coding RNA. RefSeq lists it as uncharacterized. The record is from RefSeq and is a predicted model, not a curated record. The transcript has 2 exons. NCBI's taxonomy places the organism in Eukaryota, Metazoa, Chordata, Aves, Strigiformes, Strigidae.